RNAcentral lists this long non-coding RNA (587 nucleotides) under Oryza brachyantha (malo sina). RNAcentral's name for it is "long non-coding RNA (OBRA_LNC002122)". Lineage: Eukaryota; Viridiplantae; Streptophyta; Magnoliopsida; Poales; Poaceae. The record is from RNAcentral.
CGUCCUCUCCCACUCGGCGAGCGGCCGCAACGCCAGGCUGCGCGCCUUCUACCUCGAGAGGAGCCUCUCAUCCUCCUCCUCCGGCGCCGGCGCCGCCGUCUCGCCAUGCUGACCAACAGCUACGUACCUUCGUCACCGGCGCCACCAAGAAACCCAAGAAAGAAUCCAUGGCGGCUGACCUGACCACCACCGAUCGCGAUCGAGCUACAGUGACAAGCCUCGUAUACCAAUCAAUCAAUCAUUCUCCCCAUGUAGUAGCAACCAACCAACCAAGCAUGCAAUGCAUCCAUGUAAGGCAUUCUGGCAAUAAGUCCAGCACAUGGCUUGCAAGACUGUUCGUCGCUGUACGCUGUACUGCAAAGUACCUGAAAUAUGAGUUAAUAUUUGAGGCAACUUAAUUGAGAUUCAGUCUGGGGAAACAAGAAGAUCCAGAGAGAUCGGCCGUGCUGGAUGCAUGUCUGGGUGUGCUUAAUUUUCUUUGCCGUUAUAUUGGUACUAUACCAACGUUAACAAAUUAAAUGGUGAGCAAAAUAUGAAAAUAUCUUAUUUGGAAUAGUCAGGAAUAGGGCAUAGUAACUUAGUAAGCA